GCCAGACUCCUACGGGAGGCAGCAGUGGGGAAUAUUGCACAAUGGGGGAAACCCUGAUGCAGCGACGCCGCGUGAGUGAAGAAGUAUUUCGGUAUGUAAAGCUCUAUCAGCAGGGGAGAAAAUGACGGUACCUGACCAAGAAGCCCCGGCUAACUACGUGCCAGCAGCCGCGGUAAUACGCAGGGGGCAAGCGUUAUCCGGAUUUACUGGGUGUAAAGGGAGCGUAGACGGCUGUGCAAGUCAGAAGUGAAAGCCCGGGGCUCAACCCCGGGACUGCUUUUGAAACUGCGUGGCUGGAGUGCAGGAGAGGUAAGCGGAAUUCCUGGUGUAGCGGUGAAAUGCGUAGAUAUCAGGAGGAACACCAGUGGCGAAGGCGGCUUACUGGACUGUAACUGACGUUGAGGCUCGAAAGCGUGGGGAGCAAACAGGAUUAGAUACCCUUGUA
This 445-nucleotide ribosomal RNA is filed under the name uncultured bacterium. Its description in RNAcentral is "bacterial SSU rRNA". It matches the Rfam family "Bacterial small subunit ribosomal RNA", at positions 330 to 792 of the family's 1533-position model. The record is from RNAcentral.